GAGCACGUAGGUGGGUUUGUAAGUCAGAUGUGAAAGCCUUCUGUUCAACGGAAGAAUUGCAUCUGAAACUGCUAAUCUUGAGUAUAGGAGGGGAGAAUGGAACUUCUGGUGGAGCGGUGAAAUGCGUAGAUAUCAGAAGGAACGCCGGCGGCGAAAGCGAUUCUCUGGCCUAUUACUGACACUCAGUGUGCGAAAGCUAGGGGAGCAAACGGGAUUAGAUACCCCGUAGCCUGCCAGGU
RNAcentral lists this ribosomal RNA (239 nucleotides) under Candidatus Scalindua wagneri. Its description in RNAcentral is "partial 16S ribosomal RNA". It matches the Rfam family "Bacterial small subunit ribosomal RNA", at positions 565 to 805 of the family's 1533-position model. The record is from RNAcentral. Lineage: Bacteria; Pseudomonadati; Planctomycetota; Candidatus Brocadiia; Candidatus Brocadiales; Candidatus Scalinduaceae.